GGGGAUUUAGCUUAGCGGCAUGAGCACCUGCCUUGCAAGCAGGUGGUUGUGAAUUCAGUCCCCG
This 64-nucleotide transfer RNA is filed under the name Cavia porcellus (domestic guinea pig). It matches the Rfam family "tRNA". From Rfam's summary of the family: Transfer RNA (tRNA) molecules are approximately 80 nucleotides in length. Their secondary structure includes four short double-helical elements and three loops (D, anti-codon, and T loops). The record is from Rfam by way of RNAcentral. Lineage: Eukaryota; Metazoa; Chordata; Mammalia; Rodentia; Caviidae.